AGUGAACGCUGGCGGCGUGCCUAAUACAUGCAAGUCGAACGGAGAUUAAGUAGCUUGCUAUUUAUUCUUAGUGGCGCACGGGUGAGUAAUAUAUAGCUAACUUGCCCAUUACUAAGGGACAACAGUUGGAAACGACUGCUAAUACCUUAUACUCCGUAUCUAUAUAAGUAGAUAUUGGAAAGUUUUUCGGUAAUAGAUAGGGCUAUAGCGUAUCAGCUAGUUGGUAAGGUAAUGGCUGACCAAGGCUAUGACGCGUAACUGGUCUGAGAGGAUGAUCAGUCAAACUGGAACUGAGACACGGUCCAGAAUCCUUCGGGAGAGAGCGGUAGGGAAUAUUGCUCAAUGGGGGAAACCCUGAAGCAGCAACGCAUCGUGGAGGAUGACAAUUUUCGGAGCGUAGACUUCUUUUCUUAGGAAAGAGUUAUGACGGUACCCAAGGAAUAAGCACCGGCUAACUCCGUG
This 462-nucleotide ribosomal RNA is filed under the name uncultured bacterium. RNAcentral describes it as "partial 16S ribosomal RNA". It matches the Rfam family "Bacterial small subunit ribosomal RNA", at positions 29 to 507 of the family's 1533-position model. The record is from RNAcentral.